RNAcentral lists this ribosomal RNA (402 nucleotides) under uncultured prokaryote. Its description in RNAcentral is "bacterial SSU rRNA". It matches the Rfam family "Bacterial small subunit ribosomal RNA", at positions 355 to 774 of the family's 1533-position model. The record is from RNAcentral.
UGGGGAAUAUUGCACAAUGGGCGAAAGCCUGAUGCAGCAACGCCGCGUGAGUGAUGAAGGCCUUCGGGUUGUAAAGCUCUGUCUUUGGGGACGAUAAUGACGGUACCCAAGGAGGAAGCCACGGCUAACUACGUGCCAGCAGCCGCGGUAAUACGUAGGUGGCAAGCGUUGUCCGGAUUUACUGGGCGUAAAGGGUGCGUAGGUGGAUAUUUAAGUCAGAUGUGAAACCCCCAGGCUCAACCUGGGAACUGCAUUUGAAACUGGAUAUCUGGAGUGCAGGAGAGGUAAGUGGAAUUCCUAGUGUAGCGGUGAAAUGCGUAGAGAUUAGGAAGAACACCAGUGGCGAAGGCGACUUACUGGACUGUAACUGACACUGAGGCACGAAAGCGUGGGUAGCAAACA